Molecule: long non-coding RNA, 4075 nt
Organism: Anolis carolinensis (green anole)
Lineage: Eukaryota; Metazoa; Chordata; Lepidosauria; Squamata; Anolidae
Source: Ensembl
AUGCAAAAGGCUUGCCUCCAGGUUACAACAACACAACCACACCACAAAACCACAAUCCAGACCCACAAAACUCACAACAGCGCAUCAUGCGAUAACAACACAACUAAACGCCCCAGAAAUACAAAACUUGGCAACACAAUGCAAAAGCCUUGCCUCCCAGUUGUAACAACACAACUACACCACAAAACCACACAGGACCCACAAAACUCACAACAACGCAUUGUGACUAUAACAACACAACUAAACGCCCCAGAAAUACAAAAUUUGACAACACAACUCAUCCACCUCCCCAAUCCCUACAUUCACACUUGGCCUCCAAAAAAAACAAUUACAAUAAUAACAAUGACAACAACAACAACAAUAAGAAUCAACACCAUCACAGGCAAGAAACAGCCAGGCACUGAGGCUGAGAGGCCAGUCAGUGCUACACUGGGCCUCCAAAAAACAAUACAGUAGCAUCUAACUUAUCCAACCUUCAUGACCACUACAACAACAAUAAUAAUAAACAGCUACACAGGCAAAAAAAAAAAAAAGACGAUUGUACCACAAUAAAAAUAUAAACCGCACUCAGCAGAAUCAGACAUUACAACUAACAACAAACCAAAGACAACAGGGAUCUCAAGCAAUUAUCAAUCAACACAAAAACUGAAGAAGGUAACAGACUUCAAAUACUACUACUAAUGUGAGUAUAAAGAAGGGUGGAGGUCACAGCAUAAAUACAACCUAAUGUAGACUGACCAACACCACCAGACUAAGCCACAGCAACGCGUGGCCGGGCACAGCUAGUGAUUCUAUAUAUUGGGGCAAAUAGGAUGCGUGAUAUUUUCCUCAUAAUCUACAUAGCUGCCAACUGGAACUAUGAAAGAAAGGGUAACAUUUAUCUUUUUCAUGUCCAGGUACUACAGCACCGUGGCAUUAAUUCAAAUAACUACCACAUGCAUCUAUAUCCAGACAAGUUUAUAGCUUGUAUAUUUGGUAACUGCUAAGCAUAUCUCAGUGUGGAAAAAGGAACAAGACCAAACACUCCCUCUACUGUUCUAACCCAAAAGGAAAACCAGAUGACUCUACAUUUUCAGAAUCCUGUCCCAAUUAUAUUUCAUUUAAUAACACUCAAGCUUUUUCUAAAAGAAAAAAUUGCUGGCAAGGGGAAAUGAAAUGACACGAUUUUAUGGGAUCAUUCAUCAAGAACUAAUUGAAGCUUUCAUACAGGUUAGUGCUGAUAAAAUGUUGGUAACAAUAAACAAUAACAAAAUUUGCGGGAGAAGGAUUUGUUUUGCCGUGAUGAAAAUGGUUCACUUUCAUCCUGGGGAUUCCUGGUUAAAAAGAAUCUCCAAUUUAAAAAGGGAUAAGCCCAAGUUCCUCUGCAUAAUGACAGGAUGGAAGCUGUGUCAAAUGUAUUAGUAUUGCUCCAGUGGAGCUAUUCUCAUUGUAAGCAUUUGCUAUUGUGUGAGACUGAGGGAGGAUGCAUAGCUACCAAUAGGAUUUUUUUUUGUUAAAAAAAAGUUGGAUUAGUUGGCGGAGGAAGGGGGGUGGAAUGCAGUUCUUGUGUAGCUUUAAUCAGAAAGUAGGGUAAAUGAUAACUUUGCUAUAUAUAGGUAAUAUAUUAGCUGAUCUCUCCAAGAUUCACUUAAUAGAAUCCUCUACUGGUACUGAGUGAACUCAACUUAUUGUAGGAUUAUUUCCCCCCUCUGACCAUAUCCUGCAAACAUAACAUGAGUGACACAUUAUGCAAUAUGCCAAAUAAACAUUUAUCCCAUUUAUUUUUAUAAUCAUAAAAUGAAAAGUAUUUUAUGUAUUUAAUUGGGUUGUGUACCUGAUAUUGCACAUCUGGGUAAAUUAAAAUUGAAAAUACACAUAGGUAAAAAUAGUAAACUGUGACAUGUUAUUUAAAUAAUAGAUUUAAAGGGAUGAAAAUGAUGGGGUGGGUGAAAGUUUUCAUUAGUUUAAAAUAACGCAGUAGAUGCCUAUAUUUGUUCAGAAAUAAUUUGUAUUAUGCUACAUGCAGCUGACUCCUGGGUAAAUAUGAAGAGGAUUGUAUCCUCAGUUUAACAAUUAGAGGUAAUCCAACAUAUGAAAUGCACUCUUAAUAAGGAAAAGUGACAUUUUUAAGAUACCUAUACAGAAAAGCAACUGUACACAUCUCUUAUAAAGAUGAGUUUCUAUAAAAUUGUUUAAAGUAUUAUUUUCUUCAUGGCAUUAUUGCACACUGAUCUCUAAAUAUCCUCAAUGUGACUUAAUUGCUCAGAUUACCCCACUGAAAGGCAGAAAGACUCAGUUGAAUGCAUUUCUUUUCACACAAUGAAGUUUGAAUAGCUACUUUACAUGUUGCUUUAUUGAUGUUGUAGCUCCCUCCCUCCCUCCCUCCCUCCCUCCUUCCUUCCUUCCUUCCUUCCUCUUGUGUGAACUGUCCUGAGAAACCUUUAGUUAGAGAGUAGCACAUAAACAUUGAAUAGAAUCCUGUUGGUGUCUUCUGCGUGGGCGAGUUCCUCUAUGGCAAUGGUUGGAUAUAUUUGUCUGAUAUGUAAUGUGUGCGUUCACUUCAAAGUUGUGGAAGUGAAGUUGCACAUGUGGUGUCAUUGACUGUGUAAUGAACAUGUUCAUUUGUCUAUGCAGCUUGGCAAUUCAUAGACUGCAAAGCACAAUUAAUGCACAAAUUUGCAGGGAUUUAGGCUAUAUUCUGAUGUAAGAUCUUGGUCAUUGAGACCCCUAUAAAUAUUUUUGUUUUGUUUUAGGAAAUAAACUUCCAUAAGCCUGCAAUUUCCCUUGAUCUUUUAACCCAGUUCUUCUUUGUUGGUUCAUUGAAUUCGUGAGUAAACAUGUAUAGAAUUGCAUGUAGUUUUGUGGAGCAUUGAGGUGGCAUGAUUCUCAUGUUCUUAUAAAAUAGAUGGGAUAAAAUGUUGUGUUUCAUCAUAUGCUUUGAAUUACACAAAUUUGGAUUAUUUAACUUUCUUCUGUAGAAGGCAAUUGGUCAACCAUAGAUACAAUCUGAAUGAGCCAAAGUCAACAUCAACAAUCUACCCAUAUAUAAAUAAAUCUAGCAUUUAGUGGUUGUAGAGGUAACAUAUGCCUAGGAAAUGGGAAAAAUCUCAAAAACUGUAUUGUGCUGUUUUCUUCUCUGUACUAGUUGUGGGUAUAUUCUGAGUAUUGUAUUACCAAAGGGCAAGCGUCAGAGCAAGGGCCACAAAGGGCCCUCCUAAGAGCCAUAUACAAUUUCCAGACCACAAUUCUCACCUCAGUUCAAUGCUGAGAAAAGAUAAGCUAUGGAUACUUAGGCAAUCCCUCGUAGCUCGAGGAUGAUGGUCCUCCAAGUAUAGCGUCUUGGCUGUGGAUAUGUAGGUGGUUGUGGAGACCUACUCUUGACCUGCAUGUUCUUCCGCAUUGAAGACAUCGGUUUCCAAAUGGAAGGCGGUCCCAGUAAGGGUUGACUUGAUGCGCCUUCCUCUUGGCAUGUUUCCCCCUUAAACCCUCCAUUAGUGCCUCUUCAAAUUCUGCAGCACUGUUGGUAACAGCUGACUUCCAAUUGGAGCGUUCAAGGGGCAGGCUUCCCAGUUCUCAGUGUCUAUGCUACAGUUUUUAAGAUUGGCUUUGAGCCCAUCUUUGAAUCUCUUUUCCUGGGCAUGACUCCAUUUUAAGUCUGAAUUAUUAUGACAUAAAACUACUAAAAAUCAUAAAUCAUGUGAUGACAAAUGAUAUAAGAUACAGUUUUGUGCCUCUGGGUUACUUUAUUUUUCAGUGCCUAGAUAAUUCCAGGUUAACCAUAAAGAGCAUUUUGAAAAGCAGAUUUUCAGGACCACGGUCAGCACUAAUAGCAUAUUUCCUCAUUUGUUUUUCAGUUAAGUUAGCAGCUACUACAGGCACAUUGUUGCUGCAAAAGAAGGAUGGUCAUAAUUUCCAUUCAGUGACAGUAUUCUUAAAUGUCAGAUGUUUGGCACAACCAGGAUUUACCUUUGCCUUGCUCACACAAAGUAGACAUGACAAAAACAAUGUCAAAACAUCAAGUGAAAAUUAAAGAUGAAAAGCUUUUAUUUGGCAAUGUUUUUGUGAGCUCCACCCAACCUUAUUGGCUUAAUCUGAU